CUCAGAUCAUGUAAGAUUUUAAUGAUCGAACAGAUCAAAAUUUUAAACUUUUGCAUUUAAAUUUUAUCUUAAUCCAACAUCGAGGUCGCAAACUUUUUUUUUUAUUUGAACUAAAAAAAAAUAUUACGCUGUUAUCCCUAAGGUAAUUUUUUCUUAUAAUCAUUAUUAAUGGAUCAUUUAAUCAUUUAUUUAUGUUUAAUUUUUAAAAAAAGUUUAUCAUAUUUUUCUAUCACCCCAAUAAAAUAAAUAAUUUUAUUUUAAUAAAAAAUUUAAUAUAAUUUUAAAAUAAAAAUAAAUAUAAAACUCUAUAGGGUCUUCUCGUCUUUUAAAAUUAUUUUAGCUUUUUAACUAAAAAAUAAAUUUCUAAAAAUAAAUAAGAGACAGUCUAUAUUUCAUCAAAUCUUUCAUACAAGUUUCCAAUUAAAAAACUAUUGAUUAUGCUACCUUUGUACAGUCAUUAUACUGCAGCCCUUUAAUAAUUAUCAGUGGGCAGAUUAGACUUUAAAUUAUUUUCAAAAAGACAUGUUUUUG
This 531-nucleotide ribosomal RNA is filed under the name Davidina nanna. Its description in RNAcentral is "partial 16S rRNA". The record is from RNAcentral. Lineage: Eukaryota; Metazoa; Arthropoda; Insecta; Lepidoptera; Nymphalidae.